CCACCAGUGAAUCCCCAGCCCUGGGAACAGUGCCUGGGAAGUAUUUUGUCUAAGCUCCUCAGCUGUCAAGUCCUUGAGCCAAGGUUCCAUGGGAUGGACUUCUGACUGCCAUAUUCAGAGGCAGGGGAGGAGAACUAACAAAUGCCCCAUGCUGCAGCUCUGCCCAUGCAGCAAAGCUGAGUGAAACCCCCUGGGGAAAGCUGGAAGUGGCUCUGCGGAGCAGGCAGGAGAAUUCUACAGCCAGGACAUGAGCAGCCCACCACCUUUGAACUCCUCACCAUUGAAGGACAUCUGAGUGGCUCCCAGUU
Long non-coding RNA from Tupaia belangeri chinensis (Chinese tree shrew), 308 nucleotides. RefSeq lists it as uncharacterized. Lineage: Eukaryota; Metazoa; Chordata; Mammalia; Scandentia; Tupaiidae. The record is from RefSeq and is a predicted model, not a curated record. The transcript has 3 exons.